AAUUAAUGAACUUGAAUAAGUUUAUAUUUUGAAAAUAUAAAAAAGAGGUAAAAUCUUCUAUUAAUUU
This 67-nucleotide transfer RNA is filed under the name Hydnocerini sp. BMNH-844241. RNAcentral describes it as "tRNA-Ser". Lineage: Eukaryota; Metazoa; Arthropoda; Insecta; Coleoptera; Cleridae. The record is from RNAcentral.